UUAUACAGCGAAACUGCGAAUGGCUCAUUAUAUAAGUUAUCGUUUAUUUGAUAGUACCUUACUACUUGGAUAACCGUGGUAAUUCUAGAGCUAAUACAUGCUGAAAAUCCCGACUUCGGAAGGGAGGUAUUUAUUAGAUUAAAAACCAAUGCCCUCUGGGCUCCUUGGUGAUUCAUGAUAACUGUUCGAAUCGCACGGCCUUGCGCCGGCGAUGGUUCAUUCAAAUUUCUUCCCUAUCAACUUUCGAUGUUUGGGUAUUGGCCAAACAUGGUCGCAACGGGUAACGGAGGGUUAGGGCUCGACCCCGGAGAAGGAGCCUGAGAAACGGCUACUACAUCCAAGGAAGGCAGCAGGCGCGCAAAUUACCCAAUCCCGAUUCGGGGAGGUAGUGACAAUAAAUACUGAUACAGGGCUCUUUUGGGUCUUGUAAUUGGAAUGAGUACAAUUUAAAUCUCUUAACGAGGAACAAUUGGAGGGCAAGUCUGGUGCCAGCAGCCGCGGUAAUUCCAGCUCCAAUAGCGUAUAUUAAAGUUGUUGUGGUUAAAAAGCUCGUAGUUGAACCUUGGGCCUGGCUGGCCGGUCCGCCUCACCGCGUGUACUGGUCCGGCCGGGCCUUUCCCUCUGUGGAACCUCAUGCCCUUCACUGGGUGUGGCGGGGAAACAGGACUUUUACUUUGAAAAAAUUAGAGUGCUCCAGGCAGGCCUAUGCUCGAAUACAUUAGCAUGGAAUAAUAAAAUAGGACGCGUGGUUCUAUUUUGUUGGUUUCUAGGACCGCCGUAAUGAUUAAUAGGGACAGUCGGGGGCAUCAGUAUUCAAUUGUCAGAGGUGAAAUUCUUAGAUUUAUUGAAGACUAACUACUGCGAAAGCAUUUGCCAAGGAUGUUUUCAUUAAUCAGGAACGAAAGUUAGGGGAUCGAAGACGAUCAGAUACCGUCGUAGUCUUAACCAUAAACUAUGCCGACUAGGGAUCGGACGAUGUUAUUUUUUGACGCGUUCGGCACCUUACGAGAAAUCAAAGUGCUU
Molecule: ribosomal RNA, 1023 nt
Filed under: Cordyceps farinosa
Lineage: Eukaryota; Fungi; Ascomycota; Sordariomycetes; Hypocreales; Cordycipitaceae
Description: SSU rRNA
Rfam family: Eukaryotic small subunit ribosomal RNA
Source: RNAcentral